GUUUCUCCAUUCAACUACAACAUUGGAGAAGAUAAUCUCUUGGGUUUCGUGUAAAAUUGAAACUAUGGACUCUUCGGUGGUCUUCAUAUCUAAUAUGUAAAGUUAUUGAAAUGAAUGGCCCUGACCAACUCAAAGUUUGAAAUUCGAGUCAAGAGAGUUUGUUUGACGAAAUCAUGGAGAACUAUGUAAACCAGUACUUAAAUAUAAUUUUUUUUAUGAAUGAUAAUAAAUUCACAACCUGUUUAUAAGUAAUUAAUUCUCCAUAAAAUGCAUAUAUUAAUUAAGACCGGUCCUCCAGACUGUUGAUCCUUGGAAUUUUCCAUAAAAAUAAUCAAUAAUUUAAUAAGGCUAAAAAUAAAUGUAUUAAGAUGAUUGCA
This 377-nucleotide long non-coding RNA is filed under the name Lepeophtheirus salmonis (salmon louse). Its description in RNAcentral is "uncharacterized LOC121116818". The record is from RNAcentral. Lineage: Eukaryota; Metazoa; Arthropoda; Copepoda; Siphonostomatoida; Caligidae.